GACGAACGCUGGCGGCGUGCCUAAUACAUGCAAGUCGAACGAGAGCGCCCGGUGCUUGCCCUGGUCAAUCUAGUGGCGAACGGGUGAGUAACACGUGGGUAACCUGCCCAUCAGAGGGGGAUAACAUCCGGAAACGGAUGCUAAAACCGCAUAGGUCUUCGAACCGCAUGGUUUGAAGAGGAAAAGAGGCGCAAGCUUCUGCUGAUGGAUGGACCCGCGGUGCAUUAGCUAGUUGGUGAGGUAACGACUCACCAAGGCCGUGAUGCAUAGCCGACCUGAGGGGGUGAUCGGCCACAUUGGGACUGAGACACGGCCCAAACUCCUACGGGAGGCAGCAGUAGGGAAUCUUCCGCAAUGGACGCAAGUCUGACGGAGCAACGCCGCGUGAGUGAAGAAGGUGUUCGGAUCGUAAAACUCUGUUGUUAGAGAAGAACAAGUGCUAGAGUAACUGUUAGCGCCUUGACGGUAGCUAACCAGAAAGCCACGGCUAACUACGUG
Molecule: ribosomal RNA, 498 nt
Filed under: uncultured bacterium
Lineage: Bacteria
Description: partial 16S ribosomal RNA
Rfam family: Bacterial small subunit ribosomal RNA
Source: RNAcentral